RNAcentral lists this ribosomal RNA (292 nucleotides) under Dendrophryniscus haddadi. RNAcentral describes it as "partial 16S ribosomal RNA". The record is from RNAcentral. Lineage: Eukaryota; Metazoa; Chordata; Amphibia; Anura; Bufonidae.
GAACGGCACCACGAAGGUUAUACUGUCUCCUUUUCCCAAUCAGUGAAACUAAUUUUCCCGUGAAGAAGCGGGAAUAAAAAUAUAAGACGAGAAGACCCUAUGGAGCUUUAAACAACGCAGCAACUGCUACUAGUCUGAAAGACCUCAGAGUCUCUAACUACCUUGGCACUUUGACAGCAAGUUUUAGGUUGGGGUGACCGCGGAGUAUAAUAUAACCUCCACGCUGAAAGAAUCCUAUUCUUAGCCAAGAGCUACUACCCUAAGCACCAGCAUACUGACAUCUAUUGACCCA